ACGCUCGACACCUACGGGAUGCAGCAGUGGGGAAUAUUGCACAAUGGGGGAAACCCUGAUGCAGCGACGCCGCGUGGAGGAAGAAGGUCUUCGGAUUGUAAACUCCUGUUGUUGGGGAAAAAGAGGAUGGUACCCAACAAGGAAGUGACGGCUAACUACGUGCCCGCAGCCGCGGUAAUCUGAGCGGGCUGGCAAGGC
This 198-nucleotide ribosomal RNA is filed under the name uncultured bacterium. RNAcentral's name for it is "partial 16S ribosomal RNA". It matches the Rfam family "Bacterial small subunit ribosomal RNA", at positions 326 to 539 of the family's 1533-position model. The record is from RNAcentral.